AUGAACGCUGGCGGCGUGCCUAAUACAUGCAAGUCGAACGAGUUCUCGUUGAUGAUCGGUGCUUGCACCGAGAUUCAACAUGGAACGAGUGGCGGACGGGUGAGUAACACGUGGGUAACCUGCCCUGAAGUGGGGGAUAACAUUUGGAAACAAAUGCUAAUACCGCAUAAUUAGUUGAAACCACAUAGUUUCAACUUGAAAGAUGGCUCUGCUAUCACUUUAGGAUGGACCCGCGGCGUAUUAGCUAGUUGGUGAGAUAAUAGCCCACCAAGGCGAUGAUACGUAGCCGCCUGAGAGGGUAAUCGGCCACAUUGGGACUGAGACACGGCCCAGACUCCUACGGAGCAGCAGUAGGGAAUCUU
RNAcentral lists this ribosomal RNA (362 nucleotides) under uncultured Lactobacillus sp. RNAcentral's name for it is "partial 16S ribosomal RNA". It matches the Rfam family "Bacterial small subunit ribosomal RNA", at positions 29 to 365 of the family's 1533-position model. The record is from RNAcentral. Lineage: Bacteria; Bacillati; Bacillota; Bacilli; Lactobacillales; Lactobacillaceae.